CAUGCAUAUACAGAAGAAUGU
This 21-nucleotide microRNA is filed under the name Ananas comosus (pineapple). RNAcentral describes it as "microRNA s0650_c86a". The record is from RNAcentral. Lineage: Eukaryota; Viridiplantae; Streptophyta; Magnoliopsida; Poales; Bromeliaceae.